Molecule: unclassified non-coding RNA, 820 nt
Filed under: Hevea brasiliensis (rubber tree)
Lineage: Eukaryota; Viridiplantae; Streptophyta; Magnoliopsida; Malpighiales; Euphorbiaceae
Source: RNAcentral
UUGCUAGAUUAAGCCUAUUCCUCUUAGUUAAGACUAAGAGAGGCUAUUUGAUUUUAUAUAAUGGAUCACAAUACAACCUGCGGCUAAGUCUAGGAUAGAUUUCUCAAGAAUUGUAUGUCUCAAGAAUUGUGUGUGGAUCAAUAAAUAAGAAGCAAAUGAAACCUAACCAGCCAUGUCCUCACUUGAGAAUGAAAGAACCAGCAACGUAGAUAACCCAUGUCAAAGCUGUUCCAAUCACACAGGUCUUGGCUGGCAUUUUUCCAUUAUCACUUCUUAAGACCAUGGCUUCAUAGACUGGCCAACUGUUCGCUACUGCGAAUGCCGAUAAGAAUAUUUGGAUAGCUAGUCCCUCCAUGUUCCUCCCGCCCUUCACAAUUUCAGAUAAACCCCAAGCAAAUGAGACCAAGUUCAUUAGAGCUGCCAUUACUAAGGGCACAAACAUGGGUGAUGCUACUCCAAACUCAAACAACCCUUGCUCGUAUCUUUUGCUUAGUUCAUCAUCAACUGCUUUGCUGGUCACGUUGAACCCACUUGUGGAUAUUCCUAAUGAAUUUAGGAUGAACUCAACGAACCCAAACAUGAAACUUGAUAGUCCUCUUAUAUUCCACAUUCUUUGAUCAUUCCACCACAUGUGUACUGUUCCAUUAGCCAAUACAAAAUCUAUGAGAUCCUGUAUAUAGACCCCUAGGAAAAUGAAUGCGUACAGGAGAAACCAUGGUGAUUUAACCUGUGGGAAGAUGGAAAGAUUGUUCAGGAGGGCUAGCUGGGGGAGGAAGGCAUAUAUGGUAAUUGGAAUAGACCAGAUGGCCCAGAACCCAAG